ACCCUCCGGUUCCCUUUCCCAUUGGAUCUGAACCUGGUCUUGAUGGUCACACAAGGAGGGAGAGAGGAACACUGAAGCCGGCCUCUGGUGGUGUAGCCUGGUUGCACCCUGGGGGUGGUUUCAGACACAC
Molecule: small nucleolar RNA, 130 nt
Filed under: Tupaia belangeri chinensis (Chinese tree shrew)
Lineage: Eukaryota; Metazoa; Chordata; Mammalia; Scandentia; Tupaiidae
Description: Tupaia chinensis (Chinese tree shrew) Small nucleolar RNA SNORA61
Rfam family: Small nucleolar RNA SNORA61
About the family: ACA61 is a member of the H/ACA class of snoRNA that guide the sites of modification of uridines to pseudouridines.
Source: Rfam by way of RNAcentral